Molecule: unclassified non-coding RNA, 348 nt
Filed under: soil metagenome
Description: partial contains 5.8S ribosomal RNA, internal transcribed spacer 2, and large subunit ribosomal RNA
Rfam family: 5.8S ribosomal RNA (bases 1-120)
Source: RNAcentral
GAUGAAGAACGCAGCAAAAUGCGAUAAGUAAUGUGAAUUGCAGGAUUCAGUGAAUCAUCGAAUCUUUGAACGCACAUUGCGCCCGCUGGUAUUCCGGCGGGCAUGCCUGUUCGAGCGUCAUUUCAACCCUCAAGCCCCCGGGUUUGGUGUUGGGGAUCGGCUCUGCCCUUCUGGGCGGUGCCGCCCCCGAAAUACAUUGGCGGUCUCGCUGCAGCCUCCAUUGCGUAGUAGCUAACACCUCGCAACUGGAACGCGGCGCGGCCAUGCCGUAAAACCCCAACUUCUGAAUGUUGACCUCGGAUCAGGUAGGAAUACCCGCUGAACUUAAGCAUAUCAAUAAGCGGAGGA